CUUUCUCCGCCGGCGACCGGCGCACGGGUGAGUAACACGUAUGCAACCUCGCCCCUGUCAGGGGGACAACCCGCCGAAAGGCGGGCUAAACCCGCGUAUAUGCCACCGGGGGCAUCCCGGAGGCAGGAAAGGCUUCGGCCGGACAGGGAUGGGGCAUGCGGCGCAUUAGGCAGUAGGCGGGGGUAACGGCCCACCUAACCGACGAUGCGUAGGGGGUUCUGAGAGGAAGGUCCCCCACACUGGUACUGAGACACGGACCAGACUCCUACGGGAGGCAGCAG
This 281-nucleotide ribosomal RNA is filed under the name uncultured bacterium. RNAcentral's name for it is "partial 16S ribosomal RNA". It matches the Rfam family "Bacterial small subunit ribosomal RNA", at positions 79 to 354 of the family's 1533-position model. The record is from RNAcentral.